AACGAACGCUGGCGGCAUGCCUAACACAUGCAAGUCGAACGAGACCUUCGGGUCUAGUGGCGCACGGGUGCGUAACGCGUGGGAACCUGCCCUUAGGUUCGGAAUAACUCCCCGAGAGGGGUGCUAAUACCGGAGAAUGUCUUCGGACCAAAGAUUUAUCGCCAUUGGAUGGGCCCGCGUUGGAUUAGCGAGUUGGUAGGGUAAAAGCCUACCAAGGCGACGAUCCAUAGCUGGUCUGAGAGGAUGAUCAGCCACACUGGGACUGAGACACGGCCCAGAAUCCUACGGGAGGCAGCAGUGGGGAAUAUUGGACAAUGGGCGAAAGCCUGAUCCAGCAAUGCCGCGUGAGUGAUGAAGGCCUUAGGGUUGUAAAGCUCUUUUACCCGGGAUGAUAAUGACAGUACCGGGAGAAUAAGCUCCGGCUAACUCCGUG
RNAcentral lists this ribosomal RNA (433 nucleotides) under uncultured bacterium. Its description in RNAcentral is "partial 16S ribosomal RNA". It matches the Rfam family "Bacterial small subunit ribosomal RNA", at positions 29 to 507 of the family's 1533-position model. The record is from RNAcentral.